UGCAGUCGAACGAUGACGGUGGUGCUUGCACCGCCUGAUUAGUGGCGAACGGGUGAGUAACACGUGAGUAACCUGCCCUCCACUUCGGGAUAACCUCGGGAAAUCGUGGCUAAUACCGGAUAUGAGCACUCAUCGCAUGGUGAGUGUUGGAAAGAUUUAUCGGUGGGGGAUGGACUCGCGGCCUAUCAGUUUGUUGGUGAGGUGAUGGCUCACCAAGACGAUGACGGGUAGCCGGCCUGAGAGGGCGACCGGCCACACUGGGACUGAGACACGGCCCAGACUCCUACGGGAGGCAGCAGUGGGGAAUAUUGCACAAUGGGCGAAAGCCUGAUGCAGCGACGCCGCGUGGGGGAUGACGGCCUUCGGGUUGUAAACCCCUUUCAGUAGGGAAGAAGCGAGAGUGACGGUACCUGCAGAAGAAGCGCCGGCUAACUACGUGCCAGCAGCCGCGGUAAUACGUAGGGCGCAAGCGUUGUCCGGAAUUAUUGGGCGUAAAGAGCUUGUAGGUGGCUUGUCGCGUCUGCCGUGAAAACCCGAGGCUCAACCUCGGGCGUGCGGUGGGUACGGGCAGGCUAGAGUGUGGUAGGGGAGACUGGAACUCCUGGUGUAGCGGUGAAAUGCGCAGAUAUCAGGAAGAACACCGAUGGCGAAGGCAGGUCUCUGGGCCAUUACUGACACUGAGAAGCGAAAGCAUGGGUAGCGAACAGGAUUAGAUACCCUGGUAGUCCAUGCCGUAAACGUUGGGCACUAGGUGUGGGGGACAUUCCACGUUUUCCGCGCCGUAGCUAACGCAUUAAGUGCCCCGCCUGGGGAGUACGGCCGCAAGGCUAAAACUCAAAGGAAUUGACGGGGGCCCGCACAAGCGGCGGAGCAUGCUGAUUAAUUCGAUGCAACGCGAAGAACCUUACCAAGGCUUGACAUGCACUGGACGGCUGCAGAAAUGUGGCUUUCUUUGGACUGGUGCACAGGUGGUGCAUGGUUGUCGUCAGCUCGUGUCGUGAGAUGUUGGGUUAAGUCCCGCAACGAGCGCAACCCUCGUUCUAUGUUGCCAGCACGUGA
Molecule: ribosomal RNA, 1059 nt
Filed under: Brachybacterium paraconglomeratum
Lineage: Bacteria; Bacillati; Actinomycetota; Actinomycetes; Micrococcales; Dermabacteraceae
Description: bacterial SSU rRNA
Rfam family: Bacterial small subunit ribosomal RNA
Source: RNAcentral